AGGAACCGGAUGCGGGAAACCUGCACGUCCGGGUCUGUGAGGGGCGGGGGCGGCGACGCCCCCGCCUACUCGGC
RNAcentral lists this non-coding RNA (74 nucleotides) under Nannocystis exedens. Lineage: Bacteria; Pseudomonadati; Myxococcota; Nannocystales; Nannocystaceae. The record is from RNAcentral.